Gadus chalcogrammus (walleye pollock) is the source of this 1462-nucleotide long non-coding RNA. RefSeq lists it as uncharacterized. NCBI's taxonomy places the organism in Eukaryota, Metazoa, Chordata, Actinopteri, Gadiformes, Gadidae. The record is from RefSeq and is a predicted model, not a curated record. The transcript is spliced from 3 exons.
UUAUUUAAACAACACUUGUAUAACAAUAAACUUAAUGUUACAUUUAAUAAAAAAAAAAUUGGAAUACUGAUCAGAUUUGAACCGAAAGAAUACUACUAAUGUAUCGCUAAAUAAAUAACCAAAGAUUGCAGUUGGAGGAUGCUUGCAGGUAGGCAAAAACCCUCACCUAGUUUUAUGGUUUCGUCAAAGAUCCUAUCAUGGAUUCUUAUUAGGCUAUGUAGCUUAACUAAUUACAUAAUCAGGCCGUAUAGAAUGCAACAUGUUUAAUAGCCUAACUUUCAAAUAGAUGGGGAAAAAACAUGAACGUCUGAUUCGCAAUAACGAGGCGUGUGUGUGUGUGUGUGUGUGUGUGUGUGUCUGCGUGAAUGGCAGUCUGCGUAUGUGUGUGUGAGUGACGUCGGGCUACUUCUAGCCUUUUAAGUUGUUUAAAAUAACGAUUUCGUUUUUUACCAUGACAAGAUGCCCUCAUGGUUCCCAGUUUAUAGCGUUUUGGUAGAAUCGGCUAAAAACAGCCUAUUUAAGAAUGCGUUUACAUGCGCUUUUGUGCUCCCAAACGAACAUCCCAUCUCGUUAUCAUCUUAAACAUAUCCAAGAUCCAUUUUAAACCGGAUUUCUCCUUUAAAUGGUUCCACGACACACUCUUUAGAUUAAAUUAGUCAAACCAGGUUUUCCGCUUUAGGUUCAAUGCGCGUUCACAUAAAAGGUGUGUUUAUCACGUCAAUUGACUCCCCCUUAUGCAAAGUGAAUCGAGCGUGCGUGGUGUAUUAUUAUGAAUUCCUACAAGGAAUUCAAAGUCCAAAUCACAGUCAAGGGGAACACGGUUGCCCAUAAUAUGGCUAGGGUAGAGGGCUGGCAAAAAAUAGCCGUCCGUGUUAAUUCGGAAGUGAAAAGAUUCUGCAUAUUGUCUAAAAAAUAUCAUGCAUCAUCAUGCCUUUUACUCCCAUAGAUGUGGUGCCAGCACGCUCCUACGAACAUGGGGCCAAGUCAAAAAUAAAUAUUAAAAUAAUAUUCAACGUGCAAAUAAAAAAAAAAAGUUAAUACGACUGGGAGGAGGACCGCUCCCCCGCCCUUCACCACUUCGGAGGAGCUGGCUCUCGCCAAUAACGAAGGUCGGCCGAUGAUGGUAGGAGUGGAAGAGGGGGUGUCCUCUGACCCCACUGCCGUGACUUCCAAGGCGUUUGUAAUGAGUAUGUAUUCAUUUAUUGGCAAUGGACAUCAAUAAUGGUCUUGCUAAUCAAAUGUGAAAUGAUUAAGUGUAAAUUAAUUGUUAUUUUUAGUUAAAGGUACAGACAUUAGUUUGGAGGGGCCGCCGACAAUCAAUCUCCAAUCCGAGGAGACUGUCGGCCUGUGACUCCAGGGCGACUAUGGAGGGGAUUUUUCUGAACAAUUCUCACAGCUAUAAUAUGAAUUUGUAGAAUAAAAAAUGCCUAUGCCUAAUUGUGUCACUGACAUAGCGGUUAUG